Molecule: long non-coding RNA, 314 nt
Organism: Arabidopsis thaliana (thale cress)
Lineage: Eukaryota; Viridiplantae; Streptophyta; Magnoliopsida; Brassicales; Brassicaceae
Product: other RNA
Exons: 1
Source: RefSeq
UCUGCUUUGCUUGGCACCUAGUAAAAACUAGUAUCCCCACACAUUAAAGAUUGGAAAAACAAACUUAGGGCCCAACUAUAGAAACGUCUCUCUCUCUCUCUCUCGCAUCUCACUCCCCUCAUCUCUGGAGGAUUCACGAUUCUUUACUCUUAUGUUGUGUGUGAUAUAUAUCAAAACUUUGUAUACUACAUUACCAUAAUUAACUAAACUUAUAGCACGCUAGUCAACCAAAAUUAUAGAAAAGAGAUUAUCAUAAACCUAAAACAUAUAUAAUGGGGUAACACGUGGUGCAGGUAUGGCUGCUCGUGUAUAUU